UACGUAGGGUGCAAGCGUUGUCCGGAAUUAUUGGGCGUAAGGAGCUCGUAGGCGGUCUGUCGCGUCGGCUGUGAAAACCCGCGGCUCAACCUCGGGCCUGCAGUCGAUACGGGCAGACUAGAGUGCGGUAGGGGAGACUGGAAUUCCUGGUGUAGCGGUGAAAUGCGCAGAUAUCAGGAGGAACACCGGUGGCGAAGGCGGGUCUCUGGGCCGUAACUGACGCUGAGGAGCGAAAGCGUGGGGAGCGAACAGG
This 253-nucleotide ribosomal RNA is filed under the name uncultured bacterium. RNAcentral's name for it is "partial 16S ribosomal RNA". It matches the Rfam family "Bacterial small subunit ribosomal RNA", at positions 524 to 776 of the family's 1533-position model. The record is from RNAcentral.